ACUCCUUUCAUCUGCAGCCAACAUACAGAGAGGGAGAAACGCGGAGAGAGAGAGAGAUGCGGAGAGGAGAGAGAGAGAAUCGCGGAGGAAGAGAGAGAGAGAAUCCCAGAUGUGAGACGCCCACCGGCCACCGGCAGACCGCCACCACCCCUCAGCCCUCACUGUCUCUCUCGCGCUCUUUCUCUCUCACCGCCAGACCGCAACCGCCCCUCACUGUCUCUCUCUCACCGCCAGACCGCAACCACCCCUCACGGAGUUCUGACAUCUGAGAAUCUGAGUUAUAUGUUCCUCUGUUCUCUAAAGGGUGAAGUCCGAAUCUCUCAUUCUUCGACUUCUAGAGAUUAGAGAACUAUCUUCUCUGUUUUCGCCGGACAACGGUGACCCCUUUGACGCAAAAACAGACGACAGAUCCGUAGAUCUGGAUUGACGAAACCCCAGUUGUGUGUGGUAAGCAAUGGAUAGAUCCAAUCGCCGUCGACUUCGGUGUUGGCUGGUGCAGUCUGCUCAACAGCUCGCCGUUGGUUGCCUGGCCGGAGUUGCUCCCUCGCCAACUGAUCCGAGCCUCCGACACGACGCCGUGCAUAUCUAUCACCCCUAAAUUAUACUUUUUUCCCCAAAAAUCAUGCUGCACGGAGCUUUUGAAGCAGUACAGAACCUACAGCCAACACAAUUGAUGCAACUGAAAAAAGUCCUCAGCGAAUACUGCUCAACCUGAAAGUUUUGAGGAGAAAACAAUGAUUUCAACUUACAGUUUCAGAGGCAGCAUAGAGCUUGGAGCUAUCAGUAGUGAUGAUACUGGAAAAAGGUUGUUGGUAUAUAGUCGUGUGUUUGAAUGUCUUGAAAAUGUAAUUAAGCAGCCCAUAGCUGGAUUCAGGAUUCAAUUAUUUGAACGACUGAGCAGACAUGAAUCUUAUUUCCUGGACAUUGAAAAACUAAAAAGGUGUCUUGAUAAACGUGAGGUGCCAUAAUGUGUCAUAAGAAUCAAAUUAUUCAAAUAAAGAAAUAAUUUUUUUUUGGCACAA
This is an RNA transcript of Ipomoea triloba (trilobed morning glory), 1022 nucleotides long. RefSeq lists it as uncharacterized. The transcript is spliced from 4 exons. Lineage: Eukaryota; Viridiplantae; Streptophyta; Magnoliopsida; Solanales; Convolvulaceae. The record is from RefSeq and is a predicted model, not a curated record.